The sequence is a ribosomal RNA, 340 nucleotides long. It matches the Rfam family "Microsporidia small subunit ribosomal RNA", at positions 752 to 1210 of the family's 1311-position model.
UGGAUAGUAUUAUUUAUGAAAUUUAACGGAUUUGGCGGCAAGAUAGCCACUUAGAGGAACCUGCCCUGUAAACGAUGAGCCACGAUUAACCUUACUUUUAUUAGAAUUCAGUUUGUAUACCGCUGUUGUCAGUUAGUUUCUUUAGAAAACUUUCGUACAUGAAAAAUUCAAGGACUUCAAGUAAAGGUGCAGCUUAUGUAAAAGAUAGAGGUGGGUUACAAUUAAAAGAAUAAUAUGGAUAAAGUAAAGAAAAAACUUUUGAAGGUGGAUUUAAUAGUAAAGUUUAAUAAGACUUGAUUAGAGCUCUAUCUUGUGUACACACCGCCCGUCGCUCGCGGGA